GAUGAACGCUGGCGGCGUGCCUAAUACAUGCAAGUCGAGCGAACGGACGAGAAGCUUGCUUCUCUGAUGUUAGCGGCGGACGGGUGAGUAACACGUGGAUAACCUACCUAUAAGACUGGGAUAACUUCGGGAAACCGUAGCUAAUACCGGAUAAUAUUUUGAACCGCAUGGUUCAAAAGUGAAAGACGGUCUUGCUGUCACUUAUAGAUGGAUCCACGCUGCAUUAGCUAGUUGGUAAGGUAACGGCUUACCAAGGCAACGAUGCAUAGCCGACCUGAGAGGGUGAUCGGCCACACUGGAACUGAGACACGGUCCAGACUCCUACGGGAGGCAGCAGUAGGGAAUCUUCCGCAAUGGGCGAAAGCCUGACGGAGCAACGCCGCGUGAGUGAUGAAGGUCUUCGGAUCGUAAAACUCUGUUAUUAGGGAAGAACAUAUGUGUAAGUAACUGUGCACAUCUUGACGGUACCUAAUCAGAAAGCCACGGCUAACUACGUG
This 497-nucleotide ribosomal RNA is filed under the name uncultured bacterium. Its description in RNAcentral is "partial 16S ribosomal RNA". It matches the Rfam family "Bacterial small subunit ribosomal RNA", at positions 28 to 507 of the family's 1533-position model. The record is from RNAcentral.